Sitophilus oryzae (rice weevil) is the source of this 1068-nucleotide long non-coding RNA. RefSeq lists it as uncharacterized. NCBI's taxonomy places the organism in Eukaryota, Metazoa, Arthropoda, Insecta, Coleoptera, Curculionidae. The transcript is spliced from 2 exons. The record is from RefSeq and is a predicted model, not a curated record.
AUCAAAUAAACACGGUCCACUACACGGUCCAUUCUUGUGAACAAUUCAUAUCCCCCCUCUAUAAUUAAUAAAAUUUUAUAUAAUAAAAAUCAGAUUUUAAAUCAUAGGUCGACCACCAUACCCGCUCUGGAUCAAGAGUUAAGUACCACUCCUCGCGAAGAGGUUAACAUUAUUUUUAGUUGUCUUCCAUUCAUAAAAGACUUGACUCCCAAAUUGGUUCGCUCCUCUUAAAUUCGUUCAAAAAGGCUCCUCUUAAAUUGUUUAGAAACCCUCAGCCUAUCGCAGGAUUUCAGGUACUGUGCGUGGUGCGUGCACCCACAGUUUGGCAUUGCAAAGCUAGCCUUGUCUCUUGGUUGGUUCGCUGUUCCCCUCACACUAUCACUUGCCUUACUAAUUGUCUUGGGGGUUUUUGGUUAACCACUAAAAACCUUUAAGUCAAAGAAAAUUCGAAUUAUUAGAAUUUUUACACUAACAGUGUGUCGACUUUCGAGCACUCAUACAAUUCUCACCCAUCGCGUGGUGAUGAGUUGUUGUGUAGGUGGUGGGUGGGACGGUGGUUUCCACCCGGAGAUUUUUUGUCUCAUUUCGUUGUUUAUGUACGCAACGGAAUUUUGACCAUAUCUUUUAUAGAUGCUAUGUAAUUUGCUAAUCGCCCCUUCCCAGUCCCUCUCGGACUGUUUCAAGGUGUAUGCACUAAUACGUUUCCAGUGCAUAUUACCAUAACAGGUGCCUGUGUGCACUUGUUUUUUGUCUCUUUUUUUACCCUCCCUUGGUUCCUUCAGAACCAACGGUGGUUUUACCUUUGAUUAAAUGUUUUUUAAUAAUAAGCAAUUUGCGUGGAGUGCACUGUCAGUUUGGUGCAUUGCCUUUUCUUGGAUUGUCCAAGCCGCACAUUGUCUUUACCUUGUCACUCAACUGUCUUAAUUUGCUGAUUUUGUUUGUUCCCCCCUUUUUUGCGGAGUGUGUUUCUGUAGUUUUUUACACCUUAUGUAAUUUUGUAAUUUUGGAAGUAUUGCCAAUACUAUGAAAAGGUUUGGUUCAUGAAUUUCCUGUGAAUUUAAAAAAUUG